This 285-nucleotide ribosomal RNA is filed under the name Octactis speculum. Its description in RNAcentral is "partial Bacterial large subunit ribosomal RNA". It matches the Rfam family "Bacterial large subunit ribosomal RNA", at positions 1 to 312 of the family's 2925-position model. Lineage: Eukaryota; Dictyochophyceae; Dictyochales; Dictyochaceae. The record is from RNAcentral.
GAAUCAAGGGCUUAUGAGGGAUACCUAGGCAUUCAGAAGCGAUGAAGGACGUGGCUACCUACGAUAAGCUUCGGGUAGCUGGAAGCAAGCUGUGAUCCGAAGAACUCCGAAUGAGGAAACUCUUAAAACUCCUUGUUGAAUAUAUAGACAAGAAAGAGCAAACCUGGGGAAUUGAAACAUCUUAGUACCCGGAGGAAAAGAAAGUAAACUACGAUUACCUUAGUAGCGGCGAGCGAAAUGGUAAGGACGCCUAAACUAAUUUUAUUAGGGUUGUUGGGACAGCGA